RNAcentral lists this ribosomal RNA (492 nucleotides) under uncultured bacterium. RNAcentral's name for it is "partial 16S ribosomal RNA". It matches the Rfam family "Bacterial small subunit ribosomal RNA", at positions 29 to 507 of the family's 1533-position model. The record is from RNAcentral.
AGUGAACGCUGGCGGUAGGCCUAACACAUGCAAGUCGAACGGCAGCACAGUAAGAGCUUGCUCUUACGGGUGGCGAGUGGCGGACGGGUGAGGAAUACAUCGGAAUCUACUUUUUCGUGGGGGAUAACGUAGGGAAACUUACGCUAAUACCGCAUACGACCUACGGGUGAAAGCAGGGGAUCUUCGGACCUUGCGCGAUUGAAUGAGCCGAUGUCGGAUUAGCUAGUUGGCGGGGUAAAGGCCCACCAAGGCGACGAUCCGUAGCUGGUCUGAGAGGAUGAUCAGCCACACUGGAACUGAGACACGGUCCAGACUCCUACGGGAGGCAGCGGUGGGGAAUAUUGGACAAUGGGCGCAAGCCUGAUCCAGCCAUACCGCGUGGGUGAAGAAGGCCUUCGGGUUGUAAGGCCCUUUUGUUGGGAAAGAAAAGCAGCAGGUUAAUACCCCGCUGUUCUGACGGUACCCAAAGAAUAAGCACCGGCUAACUUCGUG